This is a small nucleolar RNA of Leishmania braziliensis MHOM/BR/75/M2904, 383 nucleotides long. The record is from RefSeq and is a predicted model, not a curated record. Lineage: Eukaryota; Euglenozoa; Kinetoplastea; Trypanosomatida; Trypanosomatidae.
CCGGCUCUGCGCAGCUGGUAGUGGUGGCAGUGCUGCUGCGGUGUGUGUGGCGGACGCGUGAUGCAUAAUUAAUCGACCAAUAAUCGGAGCGCGCCGCCUGGGCGGUGGCGUGCGUGGAAGCCAAACCAAUGCAAUACAUAUGGCUGACUGUCGUGUGCUUGCGUGCUUGUGUGUGUGUGUGUGUGUGUGUGUGUGUGGUGGUGCCGCGGCUCCAUCGAGGCGGCGGUGUGCGUGCUGUGCAAGCGUGAUGCAGAGCAUACAACAAUCAUGUCGGGGGGCUGCCCCGUGGUGGCUCCCUCUGAAGCGUCGCUGCGCGCGACCACUUGACUGAACCCCUGUUAAGCGUCAUCCGCUGACUUGCACUGCGGCUGCGUUAGCGUGUU